UAGCUAUCUGGGGUAGCACUGUUCACAUAACCAAAGUCCCGAACGGCCCGGCGUUCGUAUAAACGAAUGAGAACAAGAGAAGGGAGGUCGGCGGCUUCACCGGUGUUCGUGAAGAAAAGUGUCCAUUUUCAGUUCCAUGAAAUAGUCAACGAACAUCGCUGUGCAUUCGACAGUUUAAGAUGGCCGCCGCCACGUGUUCGGCUAUACAAACAACGGCCACCCAGCGUUCGUCAAUUAAGCUGCG
Molecule: non-coding RNA, 244 nt
Organism: Pelobates cultripes (western spadefoot toad)
Lineage: Eukaryota; Metazoa; Chordata; Amphibia; Anura; Pelobatidae
Source: the annotation of a GenBank genome assembly